This 430-nucleotide ribosomal RNA is filed under the name Pseudomonadota bacterium. Its description in RNAcentral is "Proteobacteria bacterium partial 16S ribosomal RNA". It matches the Rfam family "Bacterial small subunit ribosomal RNA", at positions 355 to 776 of the family's 1533-position model. Lineage: Bacteria; Pseudomonadati; Pseudomonadota. The record is from RNAcentral.
UGGGGAAUAUUGGACAAUGGGGGGAACCCUGAUCCAGCCAUGCCGCGUGUGUGAAGAAGGCCUUAUGGUUGUAAAGCACUUUAAGCGAGGAGGAGGGUACUGGUAUUAAUACUACCAGGUACUGGACGUUACUCGCAGAAUAAGCACCGGCUAACUCUGUGCCAGCAGCCGCGGUAAUACAGAGGGUGCGAGCGUUAAUCGGAUUUACUGGGCGUAAAGCGUGCGUAGGCGGCUAAUUGAGUCGGAUGUGAAAUCCCCGAGCUUAACUUGGGAAUUGCAUUCGAUACUGGUUAGCUAGAGUGUUGGAGAGGAUGGUAGAAUUCCAGGUGUAGCGGUGAAAUGCGUAGAAAUCUGGAGGAAUACCGAUGGCGAAGGCAGCCAUCUGGCCUAACACUGACGCUGAGGUACGAAAGCAUGGGGAGCAAACAGG